CAACAGCUCUAGAGGCUAUUAAGAAUGAAGAAUCCGAUGAAGAAUACAGAGAAAUAGAUUUAGAGGAUUUUAUAUUUGAUGAAGCUGCCUUAGAAGAAGAAUGGCUAGCAUUAGAUUCCACCCGCUUCCCUUCACAAACACUGCUUCUUUCAAACCAGCUGCAUUGGCCAAAGAUUCCUGGAAACUUAAAAUGGGAUGAUACUUCAUUUAAUUUACCAAGUAAUCCAGCUCAAGCAUGGUUAUGUAAUGACAAAGAAAAUUUGUCUUCUUCAGAACACACACAAUUUAAUAGCAGAUCAGAAAAUAAAACUUCUUCCUGGACACCUGAAUCAAAGACCAGUAGAAAGAGUUUGCUAAAAUCUGAAAAAGAAAAAAAAAUUUCAGAAGAAUGGGGCUUUAAGGAUAUUUCUACUGCUCAGCAAAUGUUGAAGAGGGCACAGAAAAUGAAAUCGAAGAAACUAAAGAAAAAAAUAGAUUCCACUGUGCGUCUAGCCUUAUUCAAAAACAAUGAAAAUAAAGUGUCUCUUCCAAAAUCACCAAAGAUGGUACAGCCCAGAAGAGAUGGUUACUUUGAAGGUAUAGAAGAAGACCCUAUCCACAAAGAUACCACUGCAAAUGAAAAAUUAGAACGGAAUAGAGAAUAUACAUACCAAUGGCUUCACACACAGGUUGGGGUUCAUGAAACGACUAGUUCCAGAAAUAUGAAAUGCAAUCACUUUUUGCCUGAGUUAGAUCCAGAUGUACUUAAUGGUGGAAGAGUUCAGCUUGUGGUAAGAAAUGUGCUUAAAGUUACAGAAAAAUGUUGUAGACACUAGUGCUCAAAUAAAUGGCACUUUAAGAUAUGUUUAUAAUUAAACUAUGAAAAUAUCACAACUGUAUCUAUUUGGGAUAAUAUCAAAAUAUCAUGUGUUAAAAUAAUAACAUGUUUUCUUGACUUGUAAUACAAUUUAAAAUGUGACAUUGCUUAAAAAUGUUAAUUUUAUGUGACAGAUGUAAAAAUAUUAGCAUCCUACAACUUUAAAAUAAAAUUACUGUGGAUGG
RNAcentral lists this long non-coding RNA (1041 nucleotides) under Homo sapiens (human). RNAcentral's name for it is "long non-coding RNA NONHSAT162505.1". The record is from RNAcentral. Lineage: Eukaryota; Metazoa; Chordata; Mammalia; Primates; Hominidae.